Molecule: long non-coding RNA, 278 nt
Filed under: Phoenix dactylifera (date palm)
Lineage: Eukaryota; Viridiplantae; Streptophyta; Magnoliopsida; Arecales; Arecaceae
Description: long non-coding RNA (PDAC_LNC019353)
Source: RNAcentral
UUUGGGUCGACUCAAGCUUGGGUCGACUCAACUUCCUCUUGGGUCGACCCUCUCAGUGUUUCCAGAGAACUAUUUUCUUGAGACUUGAGAGGCUUGAGGUUUGGGUCGACUCAUGCUUUCCUCGGGUCGACCCAACUACUGUUCAUCCGUGCCAUUUUUGCAGAAGUGUGCCAGAUGCUUUCUUGAUGUGCUGGGGUCGACCCAAUCAACCUUGGGGUCGACUCAAACCACACUUUGCUGCAACUCAAGGUUAGAUUCAUCCAUAUAAACAAUGAAAA